This 69-nucleotide transfer RNA is filed under the name Sagamichthys abei (shining tubeshoulder). Its description in RNAcentral is "tRNA-Gly". It matches the Rfam family "tRNA". Rfam says of the family: Transfer RNA (tRNA) molecules are approximately 80 nucleotides in length. Their secondary structure includes four short double-helical elements and three loops (D, anti-codon, and T loops). Lineage: Eukaryota; Metazoa; Chordata; Actinopteri; Alepocephaliformes; Platytroctidae. The record is from RNAcentral.
AUCUUUUUAGUAUCAGUUGUACAAGUGGCUUCCAAUCACUCAGUCUUGGUUAAAACCCAAGGAAAGAUA